RNAcentral lists this long non-coding RNA (715 nucleotides) under Homo sapiens (human). Lineage: Eukaryota; Metazoa; Chordata; Mammalia; Primates; Hominidae. The record is from RNAcentral.
UGGAAACUGAACAAGAAAUGCAUCUGUCUUAGAAACUGGAGAUUAUUUGAUGUUAGGUAAAACAUGUAAUUGUUUCUCUGGCAAAUUUGUAUCAGUAAUUUGAAAAUGAGAUAUUAGGAAAAACCAAUUCUUCUUAAAUUUAGUUCAUCUUUCCUUAAAAGAACAUUAAAUGUAACCAUUUUGUCAGAUCCAUGUAUUUUGGAGCAUAAAAUGUAUGCUGUUGUGACCAAUAAAUAUAAAAUAUGGUAAUUGGAAUUAACCCCACACCAUAGUAUGCAUUGUUAUACAUACUGUGUACCUAAUUAUGUAUAGCAGUGUAGUCUCAAUUAUAUCUAAAAGUAAUUGUGACUAACAAGUAUGCUUUGCCUUAUUUCCACAUUUAAAGUACCUGUUAAUAUAAGGGAUUUGUAGUAUCAGCUUGUUGAGCAAUGACUUUGAAUCUAGUUUUCAGUGAUCAGAAGCAGCAUUUAUUUGAGUGUAUGAAUGGAAUGAUGAUCACUGUGCUAUAAUGUACUGAAACCACCAUAUUACAGAAAUAUUUACUACAUAUUUUCCAUCUGUAGUUUCUCAGAAGGGCUAUGGAUUAGUUUGAACUGUCAAAUCCUUGCAUACUUCUGUGACACCCCUGCCCAUUUUCUGUCUUUAAUUAACCAAGGUGUUAGGUGUUACUGUCACAACUGUUAUGUUUUCCAGUAAACUAGAAGUACGAUAUUUG